GACGAACGCUGGCGGCGUGCCUAAUACAUGCAAGUCGAACGCUGAAGGAGGAGCUUGCUCUUCUGGAUGAGUUGCGAACGGGUGAGUAACGCGUAGGUAACCUGCCUGGUAGCGGGGGAUAACUAUUGGAAACGAUAGCUAAUACCGCAUAAGAGUAGAUGUUGCAUGACAUUUACUUAAAAGGUGCAAUUGCAUCACUACCAGAUGGACCUGCUUUGUAUUAGCUAGUUGGUGGGGUAACGGCUUACCAAGGCGACGAUACAUGGCCGACCUGCGAGGGGGAUCGGCCACACUGGGACUGAGACACGGCCCAGAGUCCUGCGGGAGGCAGCAGUAGGGAUUCUUCUGCAAUGGACGGAAGUCUGACCGUGCAACGCCGCGUGAGUGAAGAAGGUUGUCGGAUCGUAAAGCUCUGUUGUAAGAGAAGAACGAGUGUGAGAGUGGAAAGUUCACACUGUGACGGUAUCUUACCAGAAAGGGACGGCUAACUACGUG
This 495-nucleotide ribosomal RNA is filed under the name uncultured bacterium. RNAcentral's name for it is "partial 16S ribosomal RNA". It matches the Rfam family "Bacterial small subunit ribosomal RNA", at positions 28 to 507 of the family's 1533-position model. The record is from RNAcentral.